UACGAAGGGGGCUAGCGUUGCUCGGAAUUACUGGGCGUAAAGGGAGCGUAGGCGGACAUUUAAGUCAGGGGUGAAAUCCCAGAGCUCAACUCUGGAACUGCCUUUGAUACUGGGUGUCUUGAGUGUGAGAGAGGUAUGUGGAACUCCGAGUGUAGAGGUGAAAUUCGUAGAUAUUCGGAAGAACACCAAUGGCGAAGGCGACAUACUGGCUCAUUACUGACGCUGAGGCUCGAAAGCGUGGGGAGCAAACAGG
RNAcentral lists this ribosomal RNA (253 nucleotides) under uncultured bacterium. Its description in RNAcentral is "partial 16S ribosomal RNA". It matches the Rfam family "Bacterial small subunit ribosomal RNA", at positions 524 to 776 of the family's 1533-position model. The record is from RNAcentral.